UUUCAAUCUGGGGAAGAUUCAAGGAUGGG
Molecule: non-coding RNA, 29 nt
Filed under: Mus musculus (house mouse)
Lineage: Eukaryota; Metazoa; Chordata; Mammalia; Rodentia; Muridae
Source: RNAcentral